RNAcentral lists this transfer RNA (72 nucleotides) under Camelus bactrianus (Bactrian camel). It matches the Rfam family "tRNA". Rfam says of the family: Transfer RNA (tRNA) molecules are approximately 80 nucleotides in length. Their secondary structure includes four short double-helical elements and three loops (D, anti-codon, and T loops). Lineage: Eukaryota; Metazoa; Chordata; Mammalia; Artiodactyla; Camelidae. RNAcentral also lists the same sequence under 3 other names. The record is from Rfam by way of RNAcentral.
AGAGGAUAGCUCAAGUGGUAGAGCCUGUGCUUAGCAAGCAUGAGGUCUUGGGUUCAAUUCCCAGCACCUCUU